CUAAGAAUAUUCCGCAAUGGACGGAAGUCUGACGGAGCGACGCCGCGUGGAUGACGAAGGCCGAAAGGUUGUAAAGUUCUUUUGCUGGGGAAGAAUAACCGCAGGAGGGAAUGCCUGUGGGAUGACAAGAACCGGCGAAUAAGCCCCGGCCAACUACGUGCCAGCAGCCGCGGUAACACGUAGGGGGGCCGAGCGUUGUUCGGAAUUACUGGGCGUAAAGGGCAUGUAGGCGGCUUGGAAAGCCUGGCGUGAAAGUCUGCAGCUUAACUGCAGGGGUGCGCUGGGAACUGCUGAGCUUGAGUGACGGAGAGGGAGCUGGAAUUCCUGGUGUAGGGGUGAAAUCUGUAGAUAUCAGGAAGAACACCGAUGGCGAAGGCAAGCUCCUGGCCGAUGACUGACGCUGAGGUGCGAAAGUGUGGGGAUCAAACAGGAUUAGAUACCCUGGUAGUCCACACAGUCAACGAUGUGCACUAGGUGCUGGGGCGGUAGCUUCGGUGCCGGAGCGAACGUGGUAAGUGCACCGCCUGGGGAGUAUGCUCGCAAGGGUGAAACUUAAAUGAAUUGAC
This 566-nucleotide ribosomal RNA is filed under the name uncultured bacterium. RNAcentral's name for it is "partial 16S ribosomal RNA". It matches the Rfam family "Bacterial small subunit ribosomal RNA", at positions 355 to 914 of the family's 1533-position model. The record is from RNAcentral.